RNAcentral lists this ribosomal RNA (432 nucleotides) under uncultured bacterium. Its description in RNAcentral is "partial 16S ribosomal RNA". It matches the Rfam family "Bacterial small subunit ribosomal RNA", at positions 29 to 507 of the family's 1533-position model. The record is from RNAcentral.
ACGCACCCUGGCGGCAUGCCUCACACAUGCAAGUCGAACGAUGCCUUCGGGCAUAGUGGCGCACGGGUGCGUAACGCGUGGGAAUCUGCCUUUCGGUUCGGAAUAACUCAGGGAAACUUGAGCUAAUACCGGAUAACGUCGCAAGACCAAAGAUUUAUCACCGAAAGAUGAGCCCGCGUAGGAUUAGCUAGUUGGUGAGGUAAAGGCUCACCAAGGCGACGAUCCUUAGCUGGUCUGAGAGGAUGAUCAGCCACACUGGGACUGAGACACGGCCCAGACUCCUACGGGAGGCAGCAGUGGGGAAUAUUGGACAAUGGGCGAAAGCCUGAUCCAGCAAUGCCGCGUGAGUGAUGAAGGCCUUAGGGUUGUAAAGCUCUUUUACCCGGGAAGAUAAUGACGGUACCGGGAGAAUAAGCCCCGGCUAACUCCGUG